Long non-coding RNA from Prionailurus viverrinus (fishing cat), 879 nucleotides. RefSeq lists it as uncharacterized. Lineage: Eukaryota; Metazoa; Chordata; Mammalia; Carnivora; Felidae. The record is from RefSeq and is a predicted model, not a curated record. The transcript has 5 exons.
GCUGCAGAACAGACAUGCGCACGCUGCACUUCGGCAAAGCCUCAGAGGCAGCCCCUGGCCCGGUUGUGAGCUGCCGACCCAGGCCCUUAGGGCUACUGAGGUCCUUACUUAGGAGAUUCCAAAAAGAGAUAUGACCGCCAGCGUUUCUUCAGUCCUCUCUGACAAAGAAGACGAUGCAUCUUCAUGGUGAUCUCAGCGCUUCUGAUGCCAUUUGGAAAUUCGGAAACGGCUCAUUUAUAUCUGUGAGCCAUAACUUAAUCAUCUUUGAAGCUGUUUCCAGGAGGACAUUUUAAAUUUCUGUUAUGAUUAUCAGUGGCAUAUACAAGAAAUAACCUAAGGUUCUGCAGAUACAAAGAUGAAGACACCAUCGAUGCUUUGGAAUAGCCUGGAGCUUAGUCAAUACAGUGCUCAUGCGAACAAGAUGAAAACCCAGCAGGCUAACCACUAAAGGGCAGAGUGUACUGUGCACGCAGGGGCUCUGGAAUUUGGGAAAGGCCUCCCAGCAGAAGAGGAGCCUCAGCUGAGCCUCUAAGGAUGGUUGAAUGCAAGUUAAUCAGGUACACUGCUCAGAAACUCUGGGGGCAGAGACCCCGCAAUCUGCUGAUACCAGCCUUCCAGGUGAUCCUCAUGUAGCUAAGACCUGUUGCAUCAUCGUGAGUUAUCUAUGUCCUUGGAACUCACACAUGACCAGUGGAAGUGCCUAUCUGGUAUUAGAAUGGAGAAUCAAAAGUGAUUUUCAUACCAAGAAAAAAUUUGGCUUUGUUCUAAACAUGCUUUUCAUGGAAGUAUAUUCAGUGGGUGAUCUAAGGUUAUGUAUGAUUACAGUGUCUUCAUAGGUGAUAAUUCCAUAGUUCCAGAAUGACUAUAAAAGGUCAUGUA